Molecule: long non-coding RNA, 1589 nt
Filed under: Salmo salar (Atlantic salmon)
Lineage: Eukaryota; Metazoa; Chordata; Actinopteri; Salmoniformes; Salmonidae
Description: lncRNA (ENSSSAG00000094460.1)
Source: RNAcentral
CCUCCCUCCCUCCUAGGCUACAGGGUCUACCACGCUCCAGCCUGACAGACAGCGAUGGCAGACAAGCCUCAAAGUACCCCCACACUCCCUCCCUCCCCCAUUCCAUGUGGAACCAGGGGCUGUCUGCCUCUCCUCUAGCUCCAUCCCCAGUCUCACUUUGUCAGGUAACUGUCUGUGUAUUGACUGUUCUCAACAGGGGCGUCUGCCUCUCCUCUAGCUCCAUCCCCAGCCUCACUGUCUCAGGUAACUGUCUGUGUAUUGACUGUUCUCAACAGGGGCUGUCUGCCUCUCCUCUAGCUCCAUCCCCAGCCUCACUGUCUCAGGUAACUGUCUGUGUAUUGACUGUGCUCAACAGGGGCUGUCUGCCUCUCACUGCACAUCUUCAGGUCACCGCUAUCUACUCAUGGAGAGAUUGUAUUACUAACAGAAUCCCAGGCCCCCAAGUAGCUCACAGUGGAUAUAGUCUACUCUUCUUUAGACUUUGUAAAUUCUCUCUCUCAUACUCCCUCCCUCUACUUCCCUCGCUUCCUGUCCUGUUAUCUCCCCCUUUUUCCUGCCUUCUUUCUUUUAUGCAGUCUCCCUCCCUCUUUUAUCCCCCCUCUAUUUUUUUCUCGUUCCCGCUCUCCCUCGUCCAAUAAGCAAACAAAUAUUACUUCCUGUGCCGUUGACUCGGUCGUUGUGAUUUGCCGUGGUUGUCAGGUUGGAUAUGGAGUAACACCGCGUGCAUCCCUUUUUCCUCCCUAUGAAAGGGAGGCGGAAGAGAGGCCUGUGUUCUGGGGGGGAUUACCACCCGUGUUGCCUGGCUGCCGGCUUCCAUUGUGUGCGGUGUCACAGCGAUGCAGCGUGUCCAUGCCAGGAUGGCUCCCAUGUGGCUCACAUCAGGGCUCAGUGCCCGCUGCCAUGUUGUUCCUGCUUCCUGGGUAGAGGGGGCAAUCCUCAUUCACACUACCACCCCCCUGUCGUUUCUACUAACCUUGAGUGUCUGGACAGUGUCCAGUGUCACUUUCUUGAUUGAGGGUAAAUACCCUUGGGGAGUUAGAGCGUGUGGACAACGUGGACCUGUAAGGCUUAUGAGCCGAUGCAACACAUCUUUCAUUGUUUCAUGGUCCUGCUUCCUCAUUAGCAAAAGGCUCCAAAAUGGUGAGAAUAUUGGAUGUGGGUGUACCUUUAUUUGGUAUUACACGCGUGUGUGCGUGUGUGUGUGUGUGUGUGCAUUUGCUGCCUGCAAGCCCUCUCUGUGCCUAUGUUGAAAGGGAGCAUUCAAAGCCUCUGACCGUGAGGACACACCCUAGCUGGUAAGAACACAACUUCAUUUCGAGCGGAGGUCUUGGACAGAGUAGCGAGACGUCCCCUUCAACACCUCUGGCUAGUCCCUGCUGCGGUAUCAGACUCGCAACAAUCAGCGCCAUCCUUUAUCCCCCCCACCACACACACAGCCUUGUCCGCUCCAAUGAGAUGCAAAUGUAGGGGCUUGAGGCUUAGUGGACGCCCAGCCACAGGAGGAGGGGACGGAAAAGGAGUGUGUGUGUGUGUGGGGGGCGGCAUAGACUUACCACCAAACCCAGCAGACAAACAGAAUUCACGGUAGG